CCUACGGGUGGCAGCAGUGGGGAAUUUUGGACAAUGGGCGCAAGCCUGAUCCAGCUAUUCCGCGUGUGGGAUGAAGGCCCUCGGGUUGUAAACCACUUUUGUAGAGAACGAAAAGACACCUUUUAAUAAAGGGUGUUGCUGACGGUACUCUAAGAAUAAGCACCGGCUAACUACGUGCCAGCAGCCGCGGUAAUACGUAGGGUGCGAGCGUUAAUCGGAAUUACUGGGCGUAAAGGGUGUGCAGGCGGUUGUGUAAGACAGAUGUGAAAUCCCCGAGCUUAACUCGGGAAUGGCAUACGUGACUGCUGGACUAGAGUGUGUCAGAGGGAGGUGGAAUUCCACGUGUAGCAGUGAAAUGCUUAGAUAUUGCGCAGAACUCCGAUUGCGAAGGCAGCAUACCGGCGGCGAUCUGACGCUGAGGCACGAAAGCGUGGGUAUCGAACAGGAUUAGAUACCCCAGUAGUC
Molecule: ribosomal RNA, 465 nt
Filed under: uncultured bacterium
Lineage: Bacteria
Description: partial 16S ribosomal RNA
Rfam family: Bacterial small subunit ribosomal RNA
Source: RNAcentral